RNAcentral lists this ribosomal RNA (253 nucleotides) under uncultured bacterium. RNAcentral's name for it is "partial 16S ribosomal RNA". It matches the Rfam family "Bacterial small subunit ribosomal RNA", at positions 524 to 776 of the family's 1533-position model. The record is from RNAcentral.
UACGUAGGGUGCAAGCGUUAAUCGGAAUUACUGGGCGUAAAGCGUGCGCAGGCGGUUUUGUAAGUUUGUCGUGAAAGCCCCGGGCUCAACCUGGGAAUUGCGAUGAAGACUGCAAGGCUUGAAUCUGGCAGAGGGGGGUAGAAUUCCACGUGUAGCAGUGAAAUGCGUAGAGAUGUGGAGGAACACCGAUGGCGAAGGCAGCCCCCUGGGUCAAGAUUGACGCUCAUGCACGAAAGCGUGGGGAGCAGACAGG